UGGCUCAGUUGGCAGAGCAUGGUGUUUGCAACGCCAGGGUUGUGGGUUCGAUUCCCCU
RNAcentral lists this transfer RNA (58 nucleotides) under Salmo salar (Atlantic salmon). It matches the Rfam family "tRNA", at positions 8 to 63 of the family's 71-position model. Rfam says of the family: Transfer RNA (tRNA) molecules are approximately 80 nucleotides in length. Their secondary structure includes four short double-helical elements and three loops (D, anti-codon, and T loops). The record is from Rfam by way of RNAcentral. Lineage: Eukaryota; Metazoa; Chordata; Actinopteri; Salmoniformes; Salmonidae.